GCGCGAAACCUUUACACUGCACGAAAGUGUGAUAAGGGAAUCCUAAGUGCUUUGCUUUUGCAAGGCUUUUGCCAAGAGUAAAUAUCUCGGCGAAUAAGUGGUGGGUAAGACUGGUGCCAGCCGCCGCGGUAACACCAGCGCCACAAGUGGUAACCACAAUUAUUGGGCCUAAAGCGUCCGUAGCCGGUUUUGUAAAUCUUUUGUGAAAUUGUUAAGCUCAACUUAACAGAUUGCAGAAGAGACUACAAGACUAGGGACCGGAAGGAGUCAGAAGUAUUUCUGGGGGAGCGGUAAAAUGUUAUAAUCCUAGAAAGACUACCUGUGGCGAAGGCGUCUGACUAGUACGGAUCCGACGGUGAGGGACGAAAGCUAGGGGAGCAAUCCGGAUUAGAUACCCGAGUAGUCCUAGCUGUAAACUCUGCGAGCAAGGUGUCACACAUUCUUCGAGAAUGUGUUGUGUCGAAACGAAGGUGAUAAGCUCGCCGCCUGGGGAGUAUGGUCGCAAGACUGAAACUUAAAGGAAUUGG
Molecule: ribosomal RNA, 527 nt
Filed under: uncultured euryarchaeote
Lineage: Archaea; Methanobacteriati; Methanobacteriota
Description: bacterial SSU rRNA
Rfam family: Archaeal small subunit ribosomal RNA
Source: RNAcentral